RNAcentral lists this ribosomal RNA (433 nucleotides) under uncultured bacterium. RNAcentral's name for it is "partial 16S ribosomal RNA". It matches the Rfam family "Bacterial small subunit ribosomal RNA", at positions 29 to 507 of the family's 1533-position model. The record is from RNAcentral.
AACGAACGCUGGCGGCAUGCCUAACGCAUGCAAGUCGAACGAGACCUUCGGGUCUAGUGGCGCACGGGUGCGUAACGCGUGGGAACCUGCCCUUAGGUUCGGAAUAACUCCCCGAAAGGGGUGCUAAUACCGGAUAAUGUCUUCGGACCAAAGAUUUAUCGCCUUUGGAUGGGCCCGCGUUGGAUUAGCUAGUUGGUAGGGUAAAAGCCUACCAAGGCGACGAUCCAUAGCUGGUCUGAGAGGAUGAUCAGCCACACUGGGACUGAGACACGGCCCAGACUCCUACGGGAGGCAGCAGUGGGGAAUAUUGGACCAUGGGCGAAAGCCUGAUCCAGCAAUGCCGCGUGAGUGAUGAAGGCCUUAGGGUUGUAAAGCUCUUUUACCCGGGAUGAUAAUGACAGUACCGGGAGAAUAAGCUCCGGCUAACUCCGUG